Molecule: ribosomal RNA, 469 nt
Filed under: uncultured bacterium
Lineage: Bacteria
Description: bacterial SSU rRNA
Rfam family: Bacterial small subunit ribosomal RNA
Source: RNAcentral
AGGACGAACGCUGGCGGCGUGCUUAACACAUGCAAGUUGAACGGUAUGACAUGGAAGCUUGCUGAAGUGUCAUAUAGUAGCGGACGGGUGAGUAAUGCAUGAGAAGCUGCCAUUGGGAGGGGGACAACAGUUGGAAACGGCUGCUAAUACCCCGUAUGCCGGAGGGUGAAAGGGAGUAAUCCGCCCGAUGAGGUGCUCAUGUCCUAUCAGCUGGUUGGUGGGGUAACGGCCUACCAAGGCGACGACGGGUAGCCGGCCUGAGAGGGUGAACGGCCACACUGGAACUGAGAUACGGUCCAGACUCCUACGGGAGGCAGCAGUGGGGAAUAUUGGGCAAAUGGGGGCAACCCUGACCCAGCGACGCCGCGUGGGGAAGACGGCCUUCGGGUUGUAAACCUCUUUUGUACGGGAAGAAGGAAGUGACGGUACUGUACGAAUAAGUCCCGGCUAACUACGUGCCAGCAGCGGC